GGAUUCCCCUAGUACUGCGAGUGAAGCGGGAAAAGCUCAAAUUUAAAAUCUGGCGGUCUUUGGCCGCCCGAGUUGUAAUUUAGAGAAGCGUCUUCCGCGCCGGACCGUGCACAAGUCUCCUGGAAUGGAGCGUCAUAGAGGGUGAGAAUCCCGUCUUUGGCACGGAUGCCUGGUGCUUCUGUGAUGCGCUCUCGAAGAGUCGAGUUGUUUGGGAAUGCAGCUCAAAAUGGGUGGUGAACUCCAUCUAAAGCUAAAUAUUGGCGAGAGACCGAUAGCGAACAAGUACCGUGAGGGAAAGAUGAAAAGCACUUUGGAAAGAGAGUGAAACAGUACGUGAAAUUGUUGAAAGGGAAACGCUUGAAGUCAGUCGCGUCGACCGAGACUCAGCCUUGCCUCGGCAUGGUGUACUUCUCGGCCCGACGGGUCAGCAUCAAUUUUGCCCCUCGGAUAAUGGCAGAGGAAAGGUGGCACCUUUACGGGUGUGUUAUAGUCUCCUGUCGCAUGCGAGGGGUGGGAUUGAGGAACUCAGCGCGCACCUCAGUGUCGGGGCUUCGGCCCACGUCACGCGCUUAGGAUGCUGGCGUAAUGGCUUUAAACGACCCGUCUUGAAACACGGACCAAGGAGUCCAACACGCCCGCGAGUGUUCGGGUGGAAAACCCGUGCGCGUAAUUAAAGUGAAAGUUGGGACCUCUGUCGUGGAGGGCACCGACGCCCGGACCAGACCUUCUGUGACGGAUCUGCGGUAGAGCGCGUGUGUUGGGACCCGAAAGAUGGUGAACUAUGCCUGAAUAGGGUGAAGCCAGAGGAAACUCUGGUGGAGGCUCGUAGCGAUUCUGACGU
This 841-nucleotide ribosomal RNA is filed under the name uncultured Lactarius. Its description in RNAcentral is "eukaryotic LSU rRNA". It matches the Rfam family "Eukaryotic large subunit ribosomal RNA", at positions 72 to 892 of the family's 3401-position model. Lineage: Eukaryota; Fungi; Basidiomycota; Agaricomycetes; Russulales; Russulaceae. The record is from RNAcentral.